Molecule: ribosomal RNA, 375 nt
Filed under: uncultured bacterium
Lineage: Bacteria
Description: bacterial SSU rRNA
Rfam family: Bacterial small subunit ribosomal RNA
Source: RNAcentral
UAAGACGAACCGUGCAAACGUUAUUCGGAAUCACUGGGCUUAAAGGGCGCGUAGGCGGGCCGCCAGGUCCGGGGUGAAAGCCUCCAGCUCAACUGGAGAAGUGCCUUGGAUACCGGCGGCCUCGAGGGAGGUAGGGGCGUGCGGAACUUCGGGUGGAGCGGUGAAAUGCGUAGAUAUCCGAAGGAACACCGGUGGCGAAAGCGGCGCGCUGGAUCUCUUCUGACGCUGAGGCGCGAAAGCCAGGGGAGCAAACGGGAUUAGAUACCCCGGUAGUCCUGGCCCUAAACGUUGGGUACUAGGUAGCGGCCUUACAUGGGGUCGCUGCCGAAGCAAAAGUGUUAAGUACCCCGCCUGGGGAGUAUGGUCGCAAGGCUG